GACGAACCGAGCGAACGUUGUUCGGAAUCACUGGGCUUAAAGGGCGCGUAGGCGGGCCGCCGCGUCCGGGGUGAAAUCCUCCCGCUCAACGGGAGAACGGCCUCGGAUACGGGCGGCCUGGAGGGGGGUAGGGGCGUGCGGAACUGUGGGUGGAGCGGUGAAAUGCGUUGAUAUCCACAGGAACUCCGGUGGCGAAGGCGGCACGCUGGACGCCGCCUGACGCUGAGGCGCGAAAGCCAGGGGAGCGAACGGG
RNAcentral lists this ribosomal RNA (253 nucleotides) under uncultured bacterium. RNAcentral describes it as "partial 16S ribosomal RNA". It matches the Rfam family "Bacterial small subunit ribosomal RNA", at positions 524 to 776 of the family's 1533-position model. The record is from RNAcentral.